This 240-nucleotide ribosomal RNA is filed under the name uncultured bacterium. Its description in RNAcentral is "partial 16S ribosomal RNA". It matches the Rfam family "Bacterial small subunit ribosomal RNA", at positions 15 to 244 of the family's 1533-position model. The record is from RNAcentral.
GAUUCUGGCUCAGGAUGAACGCUAGCUACAGGCUUAACACAUGCAAGUCGAGGGGAAACGAUAUUGGAAGCUUGCUUCCGAUAGGCGUCGACCGGCGCACGGGUGAGUAACGCGUAUCCAACCUGCCCACCACUUGGGGAUAACCUUGCGAAAGUAAGACUAAUACCCAAUGAUAUCUCUAGAAGACAUCUGAAAGAGAUUAAAGAUUUAUCGGUGAUGGACGGGGAUGCGUCUGAUUAG